AGACCUUCGGGUCUAGUGGCGCACGGGUGCGUAACGCGUGGGAAUCUACCCUUUGCUACGGAAUAACUCAGAGAAAUUUGUGCUAAUACCGUAUGAUGUCGAAAGACCAAAGAUUUAUCGGCAAAGGACGAGCCCGCGUAGGAUUAGCUAGUUGGUGUGGUAAAGGCGCACCAAGGCGACGAUCCUUAGCUGGUCUGAGAGGAUGAUCAGCCACACUGGGACUGAGACACGGCCCAGACUCCUACGGGAGGCAGCAGUGGGGAAUAUUGGACAAUGGGCGAAAGCCUGAUCCAGCAAUGCCGCGUGAGUGAUGAAGGCCUUAGGGUUGUAAAGCUCUUUUACCAGGGAUGAUAAUGACAGUACCUGGAGAAUAAGCUCCGGCUAACUCCGUGCCAGCAGCCGCGGUAAUACGGAGGGAGCUAGCGUUGUUCGGAAUUACUGGGCGUAAAGCGUACGUAGGCGGUUAUUCAAGUCAGGGGUGAAAGCCUGGAGCUCAACUCCAGAACUGCCCUUGAAACUAGAUAACUAGAAUCUUGGAGAGGUGAGUGGAAUUCCGAGUGUAGAGGUGAAAUUCGUAGAUAUUCGGAAGAACACCAGUGGCGAAGGCGACUCACUGGACAAGUAUUGACGCUGAGGUACNAAAGCGUGGGGAGCAAACAGGAUUAGAUACCCUGNUANUCCACGCCGUAAACGAUGAUAACUAGCUGNUCNGGGCUCUACGAGCUUGANUNGCNCNNUUAACGCAUUAAGUUAU
This 754-nucleotide ribosomal RNA is filed under the name uncultured bacterium. RNAcentral describes it as "bacterial SSU rRNA". It matches the Rfam family "Bacterial small subunit ribosomal RNA", at positions 69 to 868 of the family's 1533-position model. The record is from RNAcentral.